Molecule: non-coding RNA, 72 nt
Filed under: bovine gut metagenome
Description: ZMP/ZTP riboswitch
Rfam family: ZMP/ZTP riboswitch aptamer (pfl RNA motif)
About the family: Previously known as pfl RNA. ZMP is also known as AICAR.
Source: RNAcentral
GGCGCGUGACUGACGGAAAGCGGACAACCGCAAGGGAGCGCGGCCGUAUAAAGCCGACCGUCUGGGCAUACU